This 408-nucleotide ribosomal RNA is filed under the name uncultured bacterium. RNAcentral describes it as "bacterial SSU rRNA". It matches the Rfam family "Bacterial small subunit ribosomal RNA", at positions 355 to 787 of the family's 1533-position model. The record is from RNAcentral.
UGGGGAAUAUUGGACAAUGGGCGCAAGCCUGAUCCAGCCACGCCGCGUGAGUGAUGAAGGCCUUCGGGUCGUAAAGCUCUGUGGGGAGGGACGCGGUACCUCCUUAGCAAGCACCGGCUAACUUCGUGCCAGCAGCCGCGGUAAUACGAAGGGUGCAAACGUUGCUCGGAAUCAUUGGGCGUAAAUCGCACGUAGGCGGCUUCGCAAGUCGGAUGUGAAAUCCCUCGGCUCAACCAAGGACGUGCAUCCGAAACUGCGGAGCUUGAGUACAGAAGAGGAUCGCGGAAUUCCCGGUGUAGAGGUGAAAUUCGUAGAUAUCGGGAGGAAUACCAGUGGCGAAGGCGGCGAUCUGGGCUGAUACUGACGCUGAGGUGCGAAAGCGUGGGGAGCAAACAGGAUUAGAUACCC